GCUCAGUGUGACGGACAGCUGCACUGUGACAACGGGGAGGACGAGCUUGGCUGUGUGCGUCUGAGUGGGAGCAGCUCUGUCCUGCAGGUGCAGCGGGGGGGUGUCUGGAGGACGGUGUGCUCCGAGGGCUGGAACAACGUGCUGGGGGUGUCGGCCUGCAGGCAGCUGGGAUACUCCAGGUAUGUGGAGUCCUUCUUCGUGUCUCUGACCUCCAUCGCGCAAGAUCUCCAAGACAACCUGGUGUCCAUCAACCUGAGCCAGGCACAGACCAUUAAGCUCCAUAAUGCCACAGC
Long non-coding RNA from Notothenia coriiceps (black rockcod), 293 nucleotides. RefSeq lists it as uncharacterized. The transcript has 3 exons. The record is from RefSeq and is a predicted model, not a curated record. NCBI's taxonomy places the organism in Eukaryota, Metazoa, Chordata, Actinopteri, Perciformes, Nototheniidae.